GUUUGCCAUGUUCACUCAAACUUCUAGUUUUAAUCCAUCCCUUGUGGCUACUUGCGCAGUUUCAGUUUCUAUGCAAGCUCUUCUGCAUGACCUUGUACAGUUAUAAAUGUUUUAACAUCCAUAAAAAAGUAAAACCGUGCGCUCCCAUAAAGAGCAGCAAACAGAAAACACAGCGAGUAGAAGGAAGAUUUGAGGCCGUGCAACGCUAGUCUCGCUGCGGCCGACGUUCCUGCGCGUCCAUUGCAUCCCUGACGUUUAAUGGCUGUGAAUACGGUUAUCGCGGCUUUUUAGAGGGCAUUAUAUUAGUGUGACCGUCGGUCCACAUUGUGCCAGAACCAGCCCUUCUAUGAGUCAGUCUAGUUAUUGCUGUUGAGCCAGGAGGCCCACUCUAGACUGCUUUCCC
RNAcentral lists this long non-coding RNA (403 nucleotides) under Equus caballus (horse). Its description in RNAcentral is "lncRNA (ENSECAG00000045824.1)". Lineage: Eukaryota; Metazoa; Chordata; Mammalia; Perissodactyla; Equidae. The record is from RNAcentral.